GAUGAACGCUGGCGGCGUGCCUAACACAUGCAAGUCGAGCGAAGCACUUAAAUUAGAUUUCUUCGGAAUGACGAUUUUUGUGACUGAGCGGCGGACGGGUGAGUAACGCGUGGGUAACCUGCCUCAUACAGGGGGAUAACAGUUAGAAAUGACUGCUAAUACCGCAUAAGACCCCAGCUUCGCAUGAAGCGGUGGUAAAAACUCCGGUGGUAUGAGAUGGACCCGCGUCUGAUUAGCUAGUUGGUAAGGUAACGGCUUACCAAGGCGACGAUCAGUAGCCGACCUGAGAGGGUGACCGGCCACAUUGGGACUGAGACACGGCCCAGACUCCUACGGGAGGCAGCAGUGGGGAAUAUUGCACAAUGGGGGAAACCCUGAUGCAGCGACGCCGCGUGAAGGAUGAAGUAUUUCGGUAUGUAAACUUCUAUCAGCAGGGAAGAAAGUGACGGUACCUGACUAAGAAGCCCCGGCUAACUACGUG
This 481-nucleotide ribosomal RNA is filed under the name uncultured bacterium. RNAcentral's name for it is "partial 16S ribosomal RNA". It matches the Rfam family "Bacterial small subunit ribosomal RNA", at positions 28 to 507 of the family's 1533-position model. The record is from RNAcentral.